Molecule: ribosomal RNA, 1206 nt
Filed under: human gut metagenome
Description: bacterial LSU rRNA
Rfam family: Bacterial large subunit ribosomal RNA
Source: RNAcentral
AUACUACCGAAGCUAUGGAUCCCAAGGGAUGGUAGGGGAGCGUUCCAUGAACGGAGAAGUACGACCGAAAGGACGUGUGGAGAUCAUGGAAGAGAGAAUGCCGGUGUGAGUAGCGGAACGUGGGUGAGAAUCCCACGCACCGAAAACCCAAGGUUUCCAGAGGAAGGUUCGUCCGCUCUGGGUAAGUCGGGACCUAAGGCGAGGCCGAAAGGCGUAGUCGAUGGACAACAGGUAGAGAUUCCUGUACCCGUAUAUAUGUGAAGGAAUGACGGAGAGAGGAAGCUGCAGCCAGCGGCUGGAAGAGCUGGUGCAAGCGAGAUAUCGGGAUGGCAGGCAAAUCCACCAUCCGAAACGAGAAGGCGUGAAGCGUACGGAAAGCUACGGCGAGUACGGAAGGCAGUGGAGGAACUUCCAAGAAAAGUUUCUAACGUAAAGUAUAUAUGGCCCGUACCGAAAAUGGACACACAUGGGUGAGGAGAGAAUCCUAAGGUGAGCGAGAGAACUAUAGCUAAGGAACUCUGCAAAAUGACUCCGUAACUUAGGGAGAAGGAGUGCUCAUAGAGAUAUGAGCCGCAGUGAAACGGCCCAAGCGACUGUUUACCAAAAACACAGCUCUCUGCUAAGCCGCAAGGCGAAGUAUAGGGGGUGACGCCUGCCCGGUGCUGGAAGGUUAAGGGGAGGGGUUAACGCAAGUGAAGCCCGAACCUGAAGCCCCAGUAAACGGCGGCCGUAACUAUAACGGUCCUAAGGUAGCGAAAUUCCUUGUCAGGUAAGUUCUGACCCGCACGAAAGGCGUAACGAUUUGGGCGCUGUCUCAGCUGUAGACUCGGUGAAGUCUUAGUACCUGUGAAGAUGCAGGUUACCCGCGACUAGACGGAAAGACCCCAUGGAGCUUCACUGCAGGUUGAUAUUGGGAUUUGAUGCAGCAUGUACAGGAUAGGUAGGAGGCAAAGAGAUGGAUACGCCAGUAUUCAAGGAGCCGCUGUUGGGAUACUACCCCUGUUGUAUUGGAUUUCUAACCGGACGACGUAGAGCCGUUGACGGGACAGUGUCAGUCGGGCAGUUUGACUGGGGCGGUCGCCUCCCAAAGAGUAACGGAGGCGCCCAAAGAUACCCUCAGCUUGGAUGGAAACCAAGCGCAGAGUGCAAAGGCAAAAGGGUGUUUGACUGCGAGACCCACAAGUCGAGCAGGGACGAAAGUCGGGC